GACGAACGCUGGCGGCGUGCUUAACACAUGCAAGUCGAACGGAAAGGCCCUGCUUUUGUGGGGUGCUCGAGUGGCGAACGGGUGAGUAACACGUGAGUAACCUGCCCUUGACUUUGGGAUAACUUCAGGAAACUGGGGCUAAUACCGGAUAGGAGCUCCUGCUGCAUGGUGGGGGUUGGAAAGUUUCGGCGGUUGGGGAUGGACUCGCGGCUUAUCAGCUUGUUGGUGGGGUAGUGGCUUACCAAGGCUUUGACGGGUAGCCGGCCUGAGAGGGUGACCGGCCACAUUGGGACUGAGAUACGGCCCAGACUCCUACGGGAGGCAGCAGUGGGGAAUAUUGCACAAUGGGCGGAAGCCUGAUACAGCAACGCCGCGUGCGGGAAGACGGCCUUCGGGGUGUAAACCGCUUUCGCCUGUGACGAAGCGUGAGUGACGGUAAUGGGUAAAGAAGCACCGGCUAACUACGUG
RNAcentral lists this ribosomal RNA (468 nucleotides) under uncultured bacterium. RNAcentral's name for it is "partial 16S ribosomal RNA". It matches the Rfam family "Bacterial small subunit ribosomal RNA", at positions 28 to 507 of the family's 1533-position model. The record is from RNAcentral.